CAGAAAGUAGUUUAUUUAAAAUACCAGCUUUGGGAGCUGGAGAAGGAGGUUAGGUCCUCUCUUUUUGA
RNAcentral lists this transfer RNA (68 nucleotides) under Tropicoperdix chloropus (scaly-breasted partridge). RNAcentral's name for it is "tRNA-Pro". It matches the Rfam family "tRNA". Rfam says of the family: Transfer RNA (tRNA) molecules are approximately 80 nucleotides in length. Lineage: Eukaryota; Metazoa; Chordata; Aves; Galliformes; Phasianidae. The record is from RNAcentral.